CAGCAGCCGCGGGAAUACGUAGGUGGCAAGCGUUGUCCGGAAUUAUUGGGCGUAAAGGGCUCGCAGGCGGUUUCUUAAGUCUGAUGUGAAAGCCCCCGGCUCAACCGGGGAGGGUCAUUGGAAACUGGGAAACUUGAGUGCAGAAGAGGAGAGUGGAAUUCCACGUGUAGCGGUGAAAUGCGCAGAGAUGUGGAGGAACACCAGUGGCGAAGGCGACUCUCUGGUCUGUAACUGACGCUGAGGAGCGAAAGCGUGGGGAGCGAACAGGAUUAGAUACCCCGGUAGUCCCUGUCUCUACACA
Molecule: ribosomal RNA, 301 nt
Filed under: uncultured bacterium
Lineage: Bacteria
Description: partial 16S ribosomal RNA
Rfam family: Bacterial small subunit ribosomal RNA
Source: RNAcentral